GGUGGUUAGGCCUGGAGGCUCACAGCCCCCUCUCCCACGUCUCAUCACAAGCCUGUGGGAACCACACCACUCAGGACCACGGGGCCAGGGUCUGGGGUCCCCGACGCUGCCGAUGUGCCCUCCCACACAGAUCUGGGCCUCGGUCUUCUGACCUGAGAAAUGGGGGUGGUCAGACGCGACAGGCUCAAAGCUUUAGUUUAAGGAUAGUCCAUCCCAGUCUGAGCUGCUGACUUGCUGUGUGACCUUGGACUGGCCCUGAGCUAACAUCCGUGCCCAUCUUCCUCUAUUUUGUAUGUGGGACGCCGCCACAGCAUGGCUUGCCAAGCAGUGCACAGGUCUGCACCUGGGAUCCGAACUGACAAACCCUGGGCUGCCGAAGUGGAACAUGUGAACUUAACCACGAUGCCACCAGGCCGGCUCCAUGAGGGCGUUUUCUUAAAAGCUUUGUUUAAAACGACAGAGAGAGAGGGGUGGGGAGAAAGAGAGAGACACUUGGGUUCAUUGCCUCGAUUUCCAAUAAUGCCCAAAACUUGAAGCAACCACGUCUGAAUUGAGAGGGCUGUGUGACUGACAGCUGUGGUUCGGAUCCCAGCUCUGCCUGCCCCCUGGCUGACCUUGGGCAGGGGGCCUCACUGCUCCGGCCUCAGUUUCCCCAUCUGUGAAAUGAGGACAAUACCAGUCCGUCCACCUGCCCGCUUGUGAAGAUUAAAUGAGUUAAAGCGUGUAGUUCAUGAACAGUGGCAACUCCAGUGUGAACAAUUUGGUGACAGUCUUUCCAGACGUUUCUCUCUGUACCUGCAUACGUGGAUAGAGGUGAACAUGACACUGUAUCAAUCGGAUCACCUCCUCUUCCCUCAGUAAUUGAUCACAAGCAUUUUCUCACAUCCAAGAACGUAGCACUCCUCCGUCAUUUAAAAAUGUUUAACUUUCGUUAAUUUUCGUCAGUAGCUAAUACAUUCACACAGCCCCAAAUACCAGAAGUACGAGACAUAACAGUACAAGUCUGUCCCCUCCUGCCGGGUCCCCAGCCUCUCAGGUCCUCCCUGAGACCUUUCCUUGUUUUGCUUUCCAGAAGGGUUCCACGCACCUACAAACAAAAACAUUUAUUUGCUUUCUGUUUUCCCUCAG
Molecule: long non-coding RNA, 1128 nt
Filed under: Equus caballus (horse)
Lineage: Eukaryota; Metazoa; Chordata; Mammalia; Perissodactyla; Equidae
Description: lncRNA (ENSECAG00000053576.1)
Source: RNAcentral